Molecule: long non-coding RNA, 665 nt
Organism: Serinus canaria (Common canary)
Lineage: Eukaryota; Metazoa; Chordata; Aves; Passeriformes; Fringillidae
Exons: 3
Source: RefSeq, a predicted model, not a curated record
AACCUGUCCUAAUCCUUUGAGAGAUUCUGCCCUGCAAGUGAGAGGGAAAAAUGAGUGUUAAUUUAGGCUGAGUGCCCUCGUAAUUAGCACCUUGCAAAUUAACACUGCCCUGGGAAGCUGAGAAGGGCAGGAAUGAAAGAGCAGCCAGGACAGGAAUGUUGUUCUGGGGAGUUCAUCAUCGAAGGAGAGGGAAUUCAAACAAGAAAUAAAUAAAUGAGAGCGAGGCCAGACACACCAACAACCCAAGGCACGAGGAGUGGAGGAAGAGGAGGAUGAAAGGCAGCACUGGAGGAAGAGGAGGAUGGAAGGCAGCACUGGAGGAAGAGGAGGAUGGAAGGCAGCACUGGAGGAAGAGGAGGAUGAAAGGCACCCCUUCCCUCUGAAUGCCACAGACUGUCCCCCACUAAGCCCAGGUGGAGGUUGCACCCCCUGCAUCCCUUGGACAGGACCUUGUGUAAAUAACUGAGGGAAGCUGUGGCUGUUCAAUCCUUGAGAAAUGUGGAAUAAAACCAUGGAAGAGUUUAAGGCCCUACAAACACUGGUAAUCCCCCAAAUGGAGCACCCCCACUUUGUCACUUGAUAUGAGGUUUUUUUUCAAGGUCUGGCCACGUUUUAUAUAAAAAUUAUGAGUUUUGUAGAGUCCAAUUAUCUUUACUCACCGUUAC